Molecule: ribosomal RNA, 337 nt
Filed under: uncultured bacterium
Lineage: Bacteria
Description: bacterial SSU rRNA
Rfam family: Bacterial small subunit ribosomal RNA
Source: RNAcentral
ACAGAUCGUUCAGUAGUUUGAUCCUGGCUCAGGACGAACGCUGGCGGCGUGCCUAACACAUGCAAGUCGAACGGAGUAAUUACUUCGGUGAUUACUUAGUGGCGAACGGGUGAGUAACGCGUGAGAAACCUGCCUUUCAGUGGGGGACAACAGUUGGAAACGACUGCUAAUACCGCAUAAUGUUAUUUGGGGGCAUCCCUGGAUAACCAAAGAUUUAUUGCUGAAAGAUGGUCUCGCGUCUGAUUAGCUAGAUGGCGGGGUAACGGCCCACCAUGGCGACGAUCAGUAGCCGGUCUGAGAGGAUGAACGGCCACAUUGGGACUGAGAUACGGCCCAG